RNAcentral lists this ribosomal RNA (857 nucleotides) under uncultured bacterium. Its description in RNAcentral is "bacterial SSU rRNA". It matches the Rfam family "Bacterial small subunit ribosomal RNA", at positions 556 to 1398 of the family's 1533-position model. The record is from RNAcentral.
GGGCUUAAGGGCGCGUAGGCGGCGUGACAAGUCGGGGGUGAAAUCUUUCGGCCCAACCGGAAAAGGGCCCCCGAUACUGGUACGCUGGAGGGAGGUAGGGGCGCGCGGAACUUCCGGUGGAGCGGUGAAAUGCGUAGAUAUCGGAAGGAACGCCGGUGGCGAAAGCGGCGCGCUGGACCUCACCUGACGCUGAGGCGCGAAAGCCAGGGGAGCAAACGGGAUUAGAUACCCCGGUAGUCCUGGCCCUAAACGAUGGGUACUAGGUAGUGGACUUGACAUGGGUUCACUGCCGGAGCAAAAGUGUUAAGUACCCCGCCUGGGGAGUAUGGUCGCAAGGCUGAAACUCAAAGGAAUUGACGGGGGCUCACACAAGCGGUGGAGCAUGUGGCUUAAUUCGAGGCUACGCGAAGAACCUUAUCCUGGGCUUGACAUGUGCGAAAGCGGUGGGAAGUAGGGUGCGGAAACGUUACCCCAACGGUAUCCAGUCCGGAACCCACUACAGGUGCUGCAUGGCUGUCGUCAGCUCGUGUCGUGAGAUGUUGGGUUAAGUCCCGUAACGAGCGAAACCCUUGUUUCCAGUUGCCAGCGGGUCAUGCCGGGGACUCUGGAAAGACUGCCGGUGUUAAACCGGAGGAAGGCGGGGAUGACGUCAAGUCCUCAUGGCCUUUAUGCCCAGGGCUGCACACGUGCUACAAUGGCGUGGACAAAGGGAAGCAAGCCCGCGAGGGGGAGCAAAUCCCAAAAAGCACGCCCCAGUUCAGAUCGAAGCUGCAACUCGCCUUCGUGAGUGGAUCGCUAGUAAUCGCGGGUCAGCACACCGCGGCGAAUGUGUCCUGAGCUUGUACACACCGCCCGUC